Rhineura floridana is the source of this 441-nucleotide long non-coding RNA. RefSeq lists it as uncharacterized. The record is from RefSeq and is a predicted model, not a curated record. Lineage: Eukaryota; Metazoa; Chordata; Lepidosauria; Squamata; Rhineuridae. The transcript is spliced from 3 exons.
AGUACAACUUCUAAAAAAAGUCCCUGCCCAUAGGCUCACAAUAAGACAUGACACGACACAUGAGGAAAAAGGAAUGGAAGGGAAAGGAUUCUAUGCAAGUAGAAGAUGGUCUUUGAGUUUUUCAGGUGUUGCUAAAGCACAGUACAUGGUUAUGUAUGACUUCACACGUGUGAGGAAUACCAAACAAGAGAUGGAUUGAUUCCAUAAUCAGAAGCCACAGACCCGAACUUAAAAGAUGUGAACAGUGUGGUUUAUAACAGAUGCUAUUGGAGGUUGCUGAUUCAUAGGGUUGCCAUAAAACGUAAUCGACUUGAAGGCACAUAACAACAAAUGAGUUUCAGAUGGUGACAUAGCAACAGAGUAUGCUGCAAUGAUGGUCAAGCACAACAAGAGCAAGUGUGGAUGAAAAAAGUGUUUCCAGUUAGGUAACAGAAGUAAAAA